RNAcentral lists this ribosomal RNA (499 nucleotides) under uncultured bacterium. RNAcentral's name for it is "partial 16S ribosomal RNA". It matches the Rfam family "Bacterial small subunit ribosomal RNA", at positions 28 to 507 of the family's 1533-position model. The record is from RNAcentral.
GACGAACGCUGGCGGCGUGCCUAAUACAUGCAAGUCGAGCGGACCGACCAGGAGCUUGCUCUUGUUCGGUUAGCGGCGGACGGGUGAGUAACACGUGGGUAACCUGCCCGUAAGACCGGGAUAACUCCGGGAAACCGGAGCUAAUACCGGAUAACACCGAAGACCGCAUGGUCUUUGGUUGAAAGGCGGCUUCGGCUGCCACUUACGGAUGGGCCCGCGGCGCAUUAGCUAGUUGGUGGGGUAACGGCUCACCAAGGCGACGAUGCGUAGCCGGCCUGGGAGGGUGACCGGCCACCCUGGGACUGGAACACGGCCCAGACUCCUACGGGAGGCAGACGUAGGGAAGCUUCCGCAAUGGACGAAAGUCUGACGGAGCGACGCCGCGUGAGCGAAGAAGGUCUUCGGAUCGUAAAGCUCUGUUGUUAGGGAAGAAGAAGCGUCGUUCGAACAGGGCGGCGCGGUGACGGUACCUAACGAGAAAGCCCCGGCUAACUACGUG